GAGUACGUGAAACCGCUUAGGGGUUAAGCCCGAUGAACCUGAAUAUCUGAAUUGGAAAAUUCAAUACUGUUGGCCUUAAAAACCAAUGGUAUGCACUUUUUCCAUAGUAGGACAUUGCGAUCCAUUAGUAUGUCUUUCUGAGACGGUUUAUCAAACGGCCCGUAUAGUUCAGUUUAGCCUAUCUGCAGUAUUUAUUAUUGUAUGGCUAAUGCUAUUGCGGUGACCUGGUAAACAGCUGAUGGAACUUUAAAAUCAUGCAACCAUGCAAAUGUAUCACGGUUUUUAUAUUUUUAAUAUUUGAAUGCAGUGAUCGCAUGUAUUUGAUUAGCAAUGCGAUAGAUUUGGGAUACCUUCGGGACCCGUCUUGAAACACGGACCAAGAAGUCUAACAUGUGUGUAAGUCAUUGGGUAUAUUGAUGAAACCUAAAGGCGAAAUUAAAAUAACUAUUUUAAUGGGAUUACAAGCAAUAUUCAAUGAUUGUUUCUCCAUCCCGGGGCGUUCUAUAUGAACAUGGUUCAAGCAAUUGGAUCCUCUGUUUGAGAGCGUACCUUGAACAUACAUGCUGUGACCC
Molecule: ribosomal RNA, 572 nt
Filed under: Garrettella shermani
Lineage: Eukaryota; Metazoa; Arthropoda; Insecta; Diptera; Mycetophilidae
Description: eukaryotic LSU rRNA
Rfam family: Eukaryotic large subunit ribosomal RNA
Source: RNAcentral